AACGAACGCUGGCGGCAUGCCUAACACAUGCAAGUCGAACGAGACCUUCGGGUCUAGUGGCGCACGGGUGCGUAACGCGUGGGAACCUGCCCUUAGGUUCGGAAUAACUCCCCGAAAGGGGUGCUAAUACCGGAUAAUGUCUUCGGACCAAAGAUUUAUCGCCUUCGGAUGGGCCCGCGUUGGAUUAGCUAGUUGGUAGGGUAAAAGCCUACCAAGGCGACGAUCCAUAGCUGGUCUGAGAGGAUGAUCAGCCACACUGGGACUGAGACACGGCCCAGACUCCUACGUGAGGCAGCAGUGGGGAAUAUUGGACAAUGGGCGAAAGCCUGAUCCAGCAAUGCCGCGUGAGUGAUGAAGGCCUUAGGGUUGUAAAGCUCUUUUACCCGGGAUGAUAAUGACAGUACCGGGAGAAUAAGCACCGGCUAACUCCGUG
Molecule: ribosomal RNA, 433 nt
Filed under: uncultured bacterium
Lineage: Bacteria
Description: partial 16S ribosomal RNA
Rfam family: Bacterial small subunit ribosomal RNA
Source: RNAcentral